Molecule: transfer RNA, 75 nt
Filed under: Granulicella sp. WH15
Lineage: Bacteria; Pseudomonadati; Acidobacteriota; Terriglobia; Terriglobales; Acidobacteriaceae
Description: tRNA-Sec
Rfam family: tRNA
About the family: Transfer RNA (tRNA) molecules are approximately 80 nucleotides in length. Their secondary structure includes four short double-helical elements and three loops (D, anti-codon, and T loops).
Source: RNAcentral
GGCGCGGUACCCAAGAGGUAAGGGAGGAGCCAUCAAAGCUCUUAUGCGCCGGUUCGAGUCCGGCCCGCGCCACCA